Molecule: long non-coding RNA, 427 nt
Filed under: Bos indicus x Bos taurus (hybrid cattle)
Lineage: Eukaryota; Metazoa; Chordata; Mammalia; Artiodactyla; Bovidae
Description: lncRNA (ENSBIXG00000002972.1)
Source: RNAcentral
GAACCGCCAAUAAUUGUGCCUCCUUGAAUUCAAUAUUCAUUCCAACAAGAAGAUAAAACCAAAUUGCAGCAAGUCAUAGAAGUUCCCUUUUCAUUUUCAUUUCUUGCCAGACUAUUAUCUUACUUUAUUUUAACUCUUUCUUCAACUUUAUUACUUCUAACUAUUUACACCUGUGAUAGAAAAAAAGUGGGAAAUAAGUCCUCUGAUGAGAUAUUGCCACUAUGUGUUAAGAGCUUUGACAGCAGAGAGACUAAAGCAAGUGGCCUGGGAGUGGAAAUAUCUUGAAAGCAGCAAAGACAAAUCCCAAAAGAGACCACAUUCAGAGCCAAACUCCACUGAGUUUGGAAGGAAAGCAGAAGCUCUCGUCGUCAGAAAGUUUGAAGAAUCACCUGAAUUAAUUCGAAUGAAAAUCUCAUGAGAUCCCUUC